Molecule: ribosomal RNA, 372 nt
Filed under: uncultured bacterium
Lineage: Bacteria
Description: bacterial SSU rRNA
Rfam family: Bacterial small subunit ribosomal RNA
Source: RNAcentral
GUAGGGUGCGAGCGUUGUCCGGAAUUAUUGGGCGUAAAGGGCUCGUAGGCGGUUUGUCGCGUCGGGAGUGAAAACUCAGGGCUUAACCCUGAGCCUGCUUCCGAUACGGGCGGACUAGAGGUAUGCAGGGGAGAACGGAAUUCCUGGUGUAGCGGUGAAAUGCGCAGAUAUCAGGAGGAACACCGGUGGCGAAGGCGGUUCUCUGGGCAUUACCUGACGCUGAGGAGCGAAAGUGUGGGGAGCGAACAGGAUUAGAUACCCUGGUAGUCCACACCGUAAACGUUGGGCGCUAGGUGUGGGACUCAUUCCACGAGUUCCGUGCCGCAGCUAACGCAUUAAGCGCCCCGCCUGGGGAGUACGGCCGCAAGGCUA